RNAcentral lists this ribosomal RNA (447 nucleotides) under uncultured bacterium. RNAcentral's name for it is "partial 16S ribosomal RNA". It matches the Rfam family "Bacterial small subunit ribosomal RNA", at positions 28 to 523 of the family's 1533-position model. The record is from RNAcentral.
GACGAACGCUGGCGGCAGGCUUAACACAUGCAAGUCGAGCGCCCCGCAAGGGGAGCGGCAGACGGGUGAGUAACGCGUGGGAAUCUACCGAGCCCUAAGGAAUAGCUCCGGGAAACUGGAAUUAAUACCUUAUACGCCCUUUGGGGGAAAGAUUUAUCGGGGUUUGAUGAGCCCGCGUUGGAUUAGCUAGUUGGUGGGGUAAAGGCCUACCAAGGCGACGAUCCAUAGCUGGUCUGAGAGGAUGAUCAGCCACAUUGGGACUGAGACACGGCCCAAACUCCUACGGGAGGCAGCAGUGGGGAAUAUUGGACAAUGGGCGCAAGCCUGAUCCAGCCAUGCCGCGUGAGUGAUGAAGGCCCUAGGGUUGUAAAGCUCUUUCACCGGUGAAGAUAAUGACGGUAACCGGAGAAGAAGCCCCGGCUAACUUCGUGCCAGCAGCCGCCGUAA